AAACCAACAGGGAUUGCCUCAGUAACGGCGAGUGAAGCGGCAAGAGCUCAAAUUUGAAAUCCGGCCCCCCUGGGGGCCUGAGUUGUAAUUUGCAGAGGAUGCUUCGGGCGCGACCGCGGUCCAAGUCCCCUGGAACGGGGCGUCGUAGAGGGUGAGAAUCCCGUCUCCGGCCGGCCGGUCUCGCCCGUGUGAAGCUCCUUCGACGAGUCGAGUUGUUUGGGAAUGCAGCUCCAAAUGGGUGGUAAAUUUCAUCUAAAGCUAAAUACUGGUCGGAGACCGAUAGCGCACAAGUAGAGUGAUCGAAAGAUGAAAAGCACUUUGAAAAGAGAGUUAAACAGCAUGUGAAAUUGUUGAAAGGGAAGCGCUUGCGACCAGAGUCGGCCGCGGGGGUUCAGCGGGCAUUCGUUGCCCGUGCAAUCCCCCGCGGCCGGGCCAGCGUCGGUUUCGACGGCCGGUCAAAGGCCCCCGGAAUGUGUCGCCUCUCGGGGCGUCUUAUAGCCGGGGGUGCAAUGCGGCCAGUCGGGACCGAGGAACGCGCUCCGGCACGGACGCUGGCUUAAUGGUCGUCAGCGAC
This 574-nucleotide ribosomal RNA is filed under the name Histoplasma capsulatum. RNAcentral's name for it is "eukaryotic LSU rRNA". It matches the Rfam family "Eukaryotic large subunit ribosomal RNA", at positions 62 to 648 of the family's 3401-position model. The record is from RNAcentral. Lineage: Eukaryota; Fungi; Ascomycota; Eurotiomycetes; Onygenales; Ajellomycetaceae.